UAUAGGUUUAUAGGCACAAAGGCCAUUGAUUACAUUCUAUGACAUACAUUGGGGUAUAUGAAGAACAUAGGCCUGGAAAUGUAAAGAGAGACAUAAAGUCAAUCCUCAAACCUGAGUUGACUAGCGCUCAGAGAGAUAUCCAGGUCUACAAAAGGUGCACAGGUGGAUAUAAAGAUGACAAGCGUGCACAUGCUCCCUAGAGAACCAGCAGCAGCUCAUCAGAUUUAUUUCAAUAAUGAUCCUUCCGCAGGUUCACCUACGGAAA
This 265-nucleotide unclassified non-coding RNA is filed under the name uncultured fungus. RNAcentral's name for it is "sequence contains ITS1". Lineage: Eukaryota; Fungi. The record is from RNAcentral.